CUUUACUGUAGCUUUACAUUGGAUUUUGAACAGAUCUGUGUAGGAUAGGUGGGAGGCUUUGAAGCGGUGCCGCUAGGUAUCGUGGAGCCAACGUUGAAAUACCACCCUGGUGUGUUUGAGAUUCUAACCUUGGCCCGUUAUCCGGGUUGGGGACAGUGUAUGGUGGGCAGUUUGACUGGGGCGGUCUCCUCCCAAAGCGUAACGGAGGAGUCCGAAGGUACGCUAGGCACGGUCGGAAAUCGUGCUGAUAGUGCAUAGGCAUAAGCGUGCUUGACUGCGAGACUGACAAGUCGAGCAGGUACGAAAGUAGGGCUAAGUGAUCCGGUGGUUCUGUAUGGAAGGGCCAUCGCUCAACGGAUAAAAGGUA
This 367-nucleotide ribosomal RNA is filed under the name uncultured organism. RNAcentral's name for it is "bacterial LSU rRNA". It matches the Rfam family "Bacterial large subunit ribosomal RNA", at positions 2099 to 2465 of the family's 2925-position model. The record is from RNAcentral.